AUGGAGCCUAUGAAGGUGUACGGCUGGGCGGUGUCGCCAUGGAUGGCGCGGGUCCUCGUCUCCCUGGAGGAGGCCGGCGCCGAGUACGAGCUCGUGCCCAUGAGCCGCAACGGCGGCGACCACCGGCGGCCGGAGCACCUCGCCAGAAACCCCUUCGGUGAGAUCCCGGUGCUCGAAGACGGCGGUCUGACGCUUUACCAAUCCCGCGCCAUUGCAAGGCAUAUUCUCCGCAAACACAAGCCCGGGCUUCUAGGAGCAGGCAGCCUCGAGGAGUCGGCGAUGGUGGAUGUAUGGGUCGACGUGGAUGCCCACCAGCUGGAGCCCGUACUCAAGCCCAUCGUGUGGAACUGCAUCAUCAACCCGUUCGUCGGGAGGGACGUCGACCAGGGCCUCGUCGAUGAGAGCGUCGAGAAGCUCAAGAAGCUGCUGGAGGUGUACGAGGCAAGACUGUCAAGCAACAAGUACUUGGCCGGGGAUUUCGUCAGCUUCGCCGACCUCACCCAUUUCUCCUUCAUGCGCUACUUCAUGGCGACGGAGCAUGCGGUUGUGCUCGAUGCGUAUCCGCAUGUGAAGGCAUGGUGGAAGGCGCUGCUGGCAAGGCCAUCGGUCAAGAAGGUGAUAGCUGGCAUGCCUCCGGAUUUUGGAUUCGGGAGCGGGAGAAUACCAUGA
Molecule: ribosomal RNA, 669 nt
Filed under: Triticum aestivum (bread wheat)
Lineage: Eukaryota; Viridiplantae; Streptophyta; Magnoliopsida; Poales; Poaceae
Description: partial small subunit ribosomal RNA
Source: RNAcentral